UCUAGAUUUUUCAGUGCAAGAUCCAACUUCCUUUAUGACUGGGCAUAUGCAAGUGAAAUCUUCCGGGAAGAAUAAUUAGCUCUGGGCGUGUCAACUAUUAGUACAGCAUGGGGCAUAGGGUUGAUAGUUGGCCAAUCUGUUGGGGGCUUCUUGGCUCAGAUACUUCGAUUUCCGGUCCUUAAUUUGAAAGGGAGGAAAUGUUAUACCAUGCUUCCACGAGCUAAAAAUAUCAAGCAUCCUUUUCUUAAGGUUGUGUAAUUCCUGUUGUGCUUUCCUAAGAUUUACAGUUAAGGAAAAUAGUGAGCCAACAUAUUCCAUUUUCGAAGGCAUAAAGUAGUUAUGCUUCUUAUUUAUGAAUUACAACUGGUAAAGGUAUUUAUCAUGACAUGAUUAAGUUGACAAAUCUUUUGAAGUAAAAAUUGUUUAGUAGAAGUCAAGUUUCAGCAGAGAUUUAAAUUUCAGUGAUGAUGGCAAAUACUAUAAGCAAAAUGAACAAACUAUGAUGGAAACACAAAUGAAGAAGAGUAUAAAACAAUGUCGUAUAUGUCAUAGUAAUUCCCGUAGGAUUAAAGCCUCUUCCGCUCUAACCUGAAUAGGUAAUUUGAAGGAAUUUCCUGAGUAUUCUCUGUGUAUGUCUCUCUCUUCCUGCUCGAAGUUGCAAUGUAUUAAUUUGAUGUAACAGGACAACCUUGUCGUUCAGCCUGCAAAGAAGUAUCCAAAUAUCUUUUCAAAAAAUUCAUCGUUUGGAAGGUUUCCAUACUUCUUGCCUUGUUUUUGUAUAUCACUUUUAGCAAUGAACAUUGCAUAAGCACAAUGAAAAUGGUAGAUCAAGUGCUGCUUCCAAGAAAGCAUUGGAAACUGCAUCUUGUGUUUUCUGAUACAGAGAAUCCUAAGAAAAGUCUUUCUAGGAAUUGGCCCUUAAUGUCUUCAAUCCUUGUUUAUAGUGAUUUCUCAGUUCAUGACAUGGCAUAUACAAAGGUUUUUUUCAUUAUGGGCCAUGAGUCCUCAAAAGCUUGGGGGGUUGAGUUAUUGAACUGAGAAUGUUGGUCAAGUGUUUGCAGUGUCUGGUUUUAGUCUUCUUGUCUUCCAAAGUUUUCUAUAUCCACCUUUGGAAAAGGCCAUUGGUCCCAUAGUGACUGCUAGCAUUGCAGGACCUCCAUUAUAACAGGCUUGUUCCUUCUACAAAACAGAGCUGUGGAUCAAGAUCAAAGAUGUGUCCUAAAUUCAACUUGAUCAUGUAUUCAACAUCAGGAUCAAGAUCAAAGAGGUGCUGCUAAUGGCAUUGCAAUGACUUUAAUGUCUCUGUUCAAAGCAGUUGGCCCAGCUGGAGGUGGUACACUGUAUGUUUGCUUUUCCAUCACCUCUCCUUAACAAAUAAAUCACCUAAAUUCAGUAAAUUACUAGCAACAAUAAAUACACCCUGCAAUUUUCAACGAAUAUAUUUGUAGAGCAAUUCAGAUGUUUAAAAGACCAUAAGUACUAUUUUUUACCUAACCAAAUUAAUUUGUGUUGUCACAUGCUCUUGGCACAAUUUACUUUCAUGAUAUGGGGUCUU
This is a long non-coding RNA of Ziziphus jujuba (common jujube), 1555 nucleotides long. RefSeq lists it as uncharacterized. The record is from RefSeq and is a predicted model, not a curated record. NCBI's taxonomy places the organism in Eukaryota, Viridiplantae, Streptophyta, Magnoliopsida, Rosales, Rhamnaceae. The transcript has 8 exons.